UCAGACAGAAGAGGGCUGGUGA
This 22-nucleotide unclassified non-coding RNA is filed under the name Mus musculus (house mouse). Its description in RNAcentral is "oocyte_clustered_small_RNA10266". Lineage: Eukaryota; Metazoa; Chordata; Mammalia; Rodentia; Muridae. The record is from RNAcentral.